This 97-nucleotide ribosomal RNA is filed under the name Geobacillus thermoleovorans. RNAcentral's name for it is "partial 16S ribosomal RNA". It matches the Rfam family "Bacterial small subunit ribosomal RNA", at positions 1444 to 1533 of the family's 1533-position model. The record is from RNAcentral. Lineage: Bacteria; Bacillati; Bacillota; Bacilli; Caryophanales; Anoxybacillaceae.
GGGAGCCAGCCGCCGAAGGUGGGGCAAGUGAUUGGGGUGAAGUCGUAACAAGGUAGCCGUACCGGAAGGUGCGGCUGGAUCACCUCCUUUCUAAGGA